GAUGAACGCUGGCGGCGUGCUUAACACAUGCAAGUCGAACGAUUAAACUGGCUUCGGCCAGAUAUAGAGUGGCGAACGGGUGAGUAACACGUGACCAACCUGCCCCGCGCUCCGGGACAACCGCUGGAAACGGCGGCUAAUACCGGAUGCUCCGGGGAGGCCCCAUGGCCUCCCCGGGAAAGCCUUAACGGCGCGGGAUGGGGUCGCGGCCCAUUAGGUAGACGGCGGGGUAACGGCCCACCGUGCCCGCGAUGGGUAGCCGGACUGAGAGGUCGACCGGCCACAUUGGGACUGAGAUACGGCCCAGACUCCUACGGGAGGCAGCAGUGGGGAAUUUUGCGCAAUGGGGGAAACCCUGACGCAGCAACGCCGCGUGCGGGACGAAGGCCUUCGGGUUGUAAACCGCUUUCAGCAGGGAAGACAUAGACGGUAC
This 433-nucleotide ribosomal RNA is filed under the name uncultured bacterium. Its description in RNAcentral is "bacterial SSU rRNA". It matches the Rfam family "Bacterial small subunit ribosomal RNA", at positions 28 to 478 of the family's 1533-position model. The record is from RNAcentral.